Molecule: non-coding RNA, 45 nt
Organism: Cricetulus griseus (Chinese hamster)
Lineage: Eukaryota; Metazoa; Chordata; Mammalia; Rodentia; Cricetidae
Source: Rfam
CCAAAGGCUCUUUUCAGAGCCACCCACCUUUUCAAAGAGAGAUGU